GCUGGCGGCGUGCCUAACACAUGCAAGUCGAACGAGAAAGUGGAGCAAUCCAUGAGUAAAGUGGCGACCGGGUGAGUAACACGUGACUAACCUACCUCCGAGUGGGGAAUAACUCCGGGAAACCGGGGCUAAUACCGCAUAACAUCGCAAGAUCAAAGCAGCAAUGCGCUUGGAGAGGGGGUCGCGGCUGAUUAGCUAGUUGGCGGGGUAACGGCCCACCAAGGCGAAGAUCGGUAUCCGGCCUGAGAGGGCGCACGGACACACUGGAACUGAAACACGGUCCAGACUCCUACGGGAGGCAGCAGUGGGGAAUUUUGCGCAAUGGGGGAAACCCUGACGCAGCAACGCCGCGUGGAGGAUGAAGCCCCUUGGGGCGUAAACUCCUUUCGACCAAGACGAUAAUGACGGUACUGGUGGAAGAAGCACCGGCUAACUCUGUGCCAGCAGCCCGCGGUAAUACAGAGGGUGCGAGCGUUGUUCGGAAUUAUUGGGCGUAAAGGGCGCGUAGGCGGUGCCACAAGUCACUUGUGAAAUCUCCGGGC
This 542-nucleotide ribosomal RNA is filed under the name uncultured soil bacterium. RNAcentral's name for it is "bacterial SSU rRNA". It matches the Rfam family "Bacterial small subunit ribosomal RNA", at positions 35 to 608 of the family's 1533-position model. The record is from RNAcentral.